This is a non-coding RNA of Caenorhabditis elegans, 147 nucleotides long. NCBI's taxonomy places the organism in Eukaryota, Metazoa, Nematoda, Chromadorea, Rhabditida, Rhabditidae. The record is from Ensembl.
GAACAUGGACGUCUGUUGACCAACAAAUCCGGUCGAUCACACUCAUUUUGACCAUUUUUUUCUGCCGCGCGGCAAGCUCUUAUCACACCAUCAGUCAUUUUUUGUGGUCUGAAGAAUAAUGUUUGUAAGCAUUGCCACUGUGUGUUU